This 228-nucleotide unclassified non-coding RNA is filed under the name Hevea brasiliensis (rubber tree). The record is from RNAcentral. Lineage: Eukaryota; Viridiplantae; Streptophyta; Magnoliopsida; Malpighiales; Euphorbiaceae.
GGAAAAGGGCAUGGUUCUGCGCCAUCGAUGUGAAGUCGAAGCCCUGCAGCGGAGAAGAAGUAGCAGCAGCAGCCCCGCCAAAGGAGGCAAACGACAUGGCAAAUGCUUGAGAAGUUGUGAGAUCCACCUUCAUAGACUGGUGUUGUGUUGGCUGUUGCUGCUUUUCACUGUGAUUCCCGCUGCUACCGAGAGCUGCUACAGCAGGGGAUAUCAAUGUGAAAUUUUGUG